GCAGAUUUCAGGCCUCAACCAGUCAUCACUACAACACGAUAUGCAAGUUUUGCUUCUGCUGUCAUUGAUCUACCAUCAGCAACAUACUCAGUCAUCGCUUGGAUAAACAGCAUCCAGAAAUCCAGCUUGAUUGGAAAAACUCAGUCCUUGUGUAAACCCAUGUGAGUGUGGGGGUAUUCACGAGGGCGCCCUUUUUCCGUCAUUUAACUUUUCUGCAGGAUGGAGCACGUAUGGAUGCCUGGCUGUAUUUCCCAGGCAUAAAGGGGACGUCAAGUGCAGCUGAUGGGAAAUUGGACGGACAAAAGUUCCCGUCCGAAAAACGAGCGUCGCCCGCCGACACAAACGCCGCCAAUCUCCCCCCUUUUUUUCUUUCCAGCUCUCCAGCACCGCUGGACGGGCCAAAGAACUUAAUCCUCCUACGCACCAAAAGCGCCCAGCAUCGCGCACAUAUAUAUAUACAACCACUUCUUGGGUCCCAUCCAAUCACCUUUAUCGCUCCUAAGCGAUCGAUCUGUAUGUGUUCCUCCUAUAUACUCUUACGGUUCACCAACACAAGAGCAGCUCUUAUUGCGGCACUGUAACUUUAUUUUUUCCCUUUUUUUUCCAUUGUCAAACAGAAAAAGGGGGGAAUCAAACGGUAUGUACAUAUAGUAGGCUGCUACCGCUGGCAUUGAGGGCAAACACAAAAUAAUAUUAUAUAGCUUUUUUUUUCUUUCUAUCUGGAAGUGCGUUGCGCAUGAAUAUAAAAUGAAGUCCGGUCUCGAGUCCGAUGGGAAUAAACCGCCCGUGACUAUAAGUCCGAUAUUAUUAUUUUUUUUCUUUCCUAUUUUCAAUAUAUAGGCCAAUGAAAAAAAGGGAAAAAAAACCUGACCCCUUCGUUUGAUAAGAGUUCCACACGUCGUCCGCACAGCUUUUCACGCCCCAUUAUUUUAAGGGAGGAUGGGGUGGGGAGGGGGGACUCCCGAAUUGACCAUUUUCUAUUGUCAACUGCAAUCAUCGAUCUAUGCGCUUGUGUGUAGACCCUCAUCUUCUAUUUAUAUAUCUACAUCGUUUUUUCUCUUUCAGAAAGGGUAAAGUGAAACGAUGGGUUUUCUCGAUUCGAUUCAUAUGCUGGCCCUUUAUUACGUAUUCAGAAGGGACAGCUAUGUAAAUAGAUUGCGUUUAUAGAUCAGCCCUUUUUUUUCUUCGUUGACGAUAUUUUUUUUUGUAGGGGCUCCCCCUUCUUUCCUUAUGCGAUAUAAUAUAGCGAUCCUUUUUUUUUUAGAUAUUCUUAUCUACUCUUUAUUCAAUGUUUUUAUAUCCAGAACUUUGCAUAUUCACUGGACAGUGGUUAAUGUUUGGUCGUUUCCGCUUCUCUUCGUCUCUUAUUUCCCUUUUUUUCUUCCCGACUAGCUGUGCAAUAUAUACACAUCUCGAGCUGCUGUGUAUUGACGCGGAGCGAUGGAUCUCCAAGGAUUUCCAAACCGACUUUUCUUUUUGUAAUCCUGACGUUGUGUCCUGAUGAAAAUUCAACAAAGAUUUAUACAAGCUAAUCUAUUACUGUU
Molecule: long non-coding RNA, 1544 nt
Organism: Daphnia pulex (common water flea)
Lineage: Eukaryota; Metazoa; Arthropoda; Branchiopoda; Diplostraca; Daphniidae
Exons: 3
Source: RefSeq, a predicted model, not a curated record